RNAcentral lists this ribosomal RNA (373 nucleotides) under uncultured eukaryote. RNAcentral's name for it is "partial 18S ribosomal RNA". It matches the Rfam family "Eukaryotic small subunit ribosomal RNA", at positions 592 to 976 of the family's 1831-position model. The record is from RNAcentral.
CAAUAGCGUAUAUUAAAGUUGUUGCAGUUAAAAAGCUCGUAGUUGAAUUUUUGCUUGCCGCCGAUGUCGGAACUUCCGUACGUUCGGCGGCGUGCAUCCUUGGGUGGAACCUGUGUGGCAUUAGGUUGUCGUGCAGGGGAUGCUCAUCGUUUACUGUGAAAAAAUUAGAGUGUUCAAAGCAGGCUUACGCUGUUGAAUAUAUUAGCAUGGAAUAAUAAGAUAGGACCUUGGUACUAUUUUGUUGGUUUGCGCACCGAGGUAAUGAUUAACAGGGACAGUUGGGGGUAUUCGUAUUCCAUUGUCAGAGGUGAAAUUCUUGGAUUUCUGGAAGACGAACUACUGCGAAAGCAUUUACCAAGGAUGUUUUCAUUAA